Molecule: ribosomal RNA, 489 nt
Filed under: uncultured bacterium
Lineage: Bacteria
Description: partial 16S ribosomal RNA
Rfam family: Bacterial small subunit ribosomal RNA
Source: RNAcentral
AUUGAACGCUGGCGGCAGGCCUAACACAUGCAAGUCGAACGGUAACAGGAAGCAGCUUGCUGCUUCGCUGACGAGUGGCGGACGGGUGAGUAAUGUCUGGGAAGCUGCCUGAUGGAGGGGGAUGACUACUGGAAACGGUAGCUAAUCCCGCAUAAUGUCGCAAGACCAAAGGGGGGGACCUUCGGGCCUCUUGCCAUCGGGUGUGCCCAGAUGGGAUUAGCUUGUUGGUGGGGUAACGGCUCACCAAGGCGACGAUCCCUAGCUGGUCUGAGAGGAUGACCAGCCACACUGGAACUGAGACACGGUCCAGACUCCGACGGGAGGCAGCAGUGGGGAAUAUUGCACAAUGGGCGGAAGCCUGAUGCAGCCAUGCGGCGUGUAUGAAGUAGGCCUACGGGGUGUAAAGUAAUUUCAGCGGGGAGGAAGGGAGUAAAGUUAAUACCGUUGCUCAUUGACGUUACCCGCAGAAGAAGCACCGGCUAACUCCGU